UACGUAGGGUGCAAGCGUUAAUCGGAAUUACUGGGCGUAAAGCGUGCGCAGGCGGUUUUGUAAGUCAGAUGUGAAAUCCCCGGGCUUAACCUGGGAACUGCAUUGGUGACUGGCAGGCUUUGAGUGUGGCAGAGGGAGGUAGAAUUCCACGUGUAGCAGUGAAAUGCGUAGAGAUGUGGAGGAAUACCGAUGGCGAAGGCAGCCUCCUGGGCCAACACUGACGCUCAUGCACGAAAGCGUGGGGAGCAAACAGG
Molecule: ribosomal RNA, 254 nt
Filed under: uncultured bacterium
Lineage: Bacteria
Description: partial 16S ribosomal RNA
Rfam family: Bacterial small subunit ribosomal RNA
Source: RNAcentral